UUUUGACUCCAUAAUAAACAAGAAUAAUGUUUCACCUUUAUGGCGGAGUAUUGCUGAGAUCUGGGGUGAAAUUUCAAGGUGUGCUAGCUGGAUUAUUGGAGAUGAUACUACAGUUAAGUUUUGGAUAGACUGUUGGUUAUUUGAUGGUGUGAUAUUGAAAGAUGUUGCCACUUCAGAUGUCCCUAUGGUGUUAAUCAAUGAACCAGUAGCUGCUUAUACUCAGUCGAAUGGCUCUUGGAAUUGGUCUCACUUUUCUACUUAUUUGCCUUUUUCUAUUAUUACUUGUAUAGCAGCAGUCCUUCCCCCUUCCCCUUUUCAGGGUCCUGAUUCUGUUGUGUGGAGGUUUUCUUCUUCAGGGCUGUCCUUGAGAACAGCUUAUGAAUGGCUAGAGGGUCUACAUGAGGCGCACCCUGGUGGUUUUUGGAAUUCAGCUUGGCAUUGGAAGGGUCCUCAAAGGAUCCAUGUGUUCUUAUGGUUAGCUUUGCGUCAACGUCUCCUUACUAAUGAGGAGAGACAGCGUUGACACCUUGCUAAUUCUGCUAAUUGUGACCUUUGUGUUGGGUUUCAGGAGUCACAUCUUCAAGUUCUUCGUGAUUGUAGUUUAACACAGCAAGUUUGGUUUGAUCUUCGUCCUCCUGGGGCUUGGGACAAUUUUGUGGCUACUAAUUCUGUUGAUGUGUGGAUUAGUUAUAAUAUUUCUUCUCGACAGCUUCAUCAUAGUGGUUAUUCUUGGGAUCUAAUUUUUUGUGUUACAUGCUGGAUGCUUUGGAUGCGUCGAAACCGAGUUAUUUUCGCCCAGGAAUAUUCUUCUGUUUCUACGAUUGUACAACGAAUUUUGCAUUUUGUAUCCGAGGUGUCUAGAUCUUUCUCUCUUCAACAAACAAAUGGAGUUUGUCUCUUAAGAGUUGAGCGUCUGAUCUCUUGGCAGUUAUCCACGCCUGGAGCUUUCAAGUUGAACAUAGAUGGAUCUGUAAAAGGACGUUUUGCUACUGGAGGUGGCUUAAUACGAAAUGAUCAAGUUAGAUGGAUUAGGGGCUUUGCUUAUAAUAUUGGAUCUUGUUCAGUGCCUUGUGCGGAACUUUGGGCUCUUUUGGAAGGAAUUAAAUUGGCCUGGACAUUGGGAAUUCGCUCACUACAAAUUGAAUGUGAUAGUCUGUUAGUUGUUAAUAUGGUUAAAGAUGAUGCUUUGCUUCAUAACAGCUUGAGGCCUUUGGUGUUUUUGAUUAAGCAUUUUCUUUCCUUGGAGUGGCAAUGUGAGCUGACGCAUGUUUACCGGGAGGCUAACUUUAGUGCAGAUUAUCUUGCAAAUUAUGCUGCUUCUCUUCGGAUUGGUCUGCAUAUUAUGGAGGCUCCUCCAUCAGGUGUCCUUCACUGGUUGCUGCAUGAUUCCAGUGGCGUUUCCCAUGGUAGAGUUUGUGUUUAGUUUUCUUUGUUGAGCUUUGCUCUUCCCCCUUGUUACCAAAAAAAAAAAAAAAAUUGAACAUGGACACAAUUGCGUCGAGGUACAUCCUUUCCUUCAAUUUUAGCACCCGAGAAACCCUAUCCCGUUUUCAAUUUACCCCAGUCCCUUCCCUUUCCCGUUUUGCUUCUUCGGCAAAAACUACUCACCAGCGACGAAGACCAACACCAGUAAUAGAAUUAGGUGACGUCGGCAAGCUCGUAUCACAGCAAGACUAAGAGGAGAAACAACAAUAGAAGCACGAAGGAGAACCACUGUAAAUCAAUAAUAGCUCUCUUCCUAUUUUUCUUUAUUUACUGUCAAU
RNAcentral lists this unclassified non-coding RNA (1763 nucleotides) under Hevea brasiliensis (rubber tree). The record is from RNAcentral. Lineage: Eukaryota; Viridiplantae; Streptophyta; Magnoliopsida; Malpighiales; Euphorbiaceae.